UACGGAGGGGGCUAGCGUUGUUCGGAAUUACCGGGCGUAAAGCGCGCGUAGGCGGACCUGCAAGUCGGGGGUGAAAGCCCGAGGCUCAACCUCGGAACUGCCUUCGAUACUGCGGGUCUCGAGUCCGGGAGAGGUGAGUGGAAUUCCUAGUGUAGAGGUGAAAUUCGUAGAUAUUAGGAAGAACACCAGUGGCGAAGGCGGCUCACUGGCCCGGUACUGACGCUGAGGCGCGAAAGCGUGGGGAGCAAACAGG
RNAcentral lists this ribosomal RNA (253 nucleotides) under uncultured bacterium. Its description in RNAcentral is "partial 16S ribosomal RNA". It matches the Rfam family "Bacterial small subunit ribosomal RNA", at positions 524 to 776 of the family's 1533-position model. The record is from RNAcentral.